UGCAAUUAAUGAUGAUUUUUUCCAUAAUUGUUGAUUGAACAAUGAUUAAUAUAAAAAUACCAUCAUCUUUCAGCUGAAAUUGUA
Non-coding RNA from Capsicum annuum, 84 nucleotides. The record is from Rfam. Lineage: Eukaryota; Viridiplantae; Streptophyta; Magnoliopsida; Solanales; Solanaceae.